GGUUUGUGGCUCAGUGGUAGAGUGCUUGCCUGGCACAUGCAUGGCACUGGGUUUGAUUCUCAGCACCA
RNAcentral lists this transfer RNA (68 nucleotides) under Marmota monax (woodchuck). RNAcentral's name for it is "tRNA.Ala". The record is from RNAcentral. Lineage: Eukaryota; Metazoa; Chordata; Mammalia; Rodentia; Sciuridae.